UGCGAAAGAAAUUAAUGCCUCUAAGGUUGAAUUUAAUAAAAUUUAAUAGUUAGAAGAACCGAUACAAUCUAGUAAACCCAUAGAGUUGGAUUUGAUUAGAUCAAAUUCAAAAUAUGUUGUGGGGACAUCUUUGAAGAGAUCUAGUAGAAUACCACAUCAGUCGGAAAGAUACUAUAUUUUCUUGAUUUGAAAUGGUGAUUCUGUUGAACUUGAUGAGAACAAUGAGGAUCC
Molecule: long non-coding RNA, 231 nt
Filed under: Elaeis guineensis (African oil palm)
Lineage: Eukaryota; Viridiplantae; Streptophyta; Magnoliopsida; Arecales; Arecaceae
Description: long non-coding RNA (EGUI_LNC046522)
Source: RNAcentral